GAUGUGGCACAGUUUGGUAAAGUGCUUGCCUUACAUGCAUAAGGCCCUGGGUUUGAUUCCCAGCAUC
Molecule: transfer RNA, 67 nt
Filed under: Ictidomys tridecemlineatus (thirteen-lined ground squirrel)
Lineage: Eukaryota; Metazoa; Chordata; Mammalia; Rodentia; Sciuridae
Description: Spermophilus tridecemlineatus (thirteen-lined ground squirrel) tRNA
Rfam family: tRNA
About the family: Transfer RNA (tRNA) molecules are approximately 80 nucleotides in length.
Source: Rfam by way of RNAcentral